AAUAUCUAAACGGAGAAAUUCAAUACUACCCAAAAAGUAGUGUGCACUUUUCUCUUAGUAAGACGUCGUGAUCCAUUAGAAAUUGAUGCAUGCCAAAUGUAUAGUGGGUCAUCAAUAGACCAGUGUGAAGUUUAUCGGAACAAAUGGCAUAAUCUUUUACGGUUGUGUGUAUUGUCUGGUAAGCAUGCUGUGUUCUGUAAUGACUGUCUGAUGGAUUUUAAAGGCAAUAUCAUUGAUGUUACGGCAUCAACCACGCAAGUGGUAUUAGAUAUUUGUCUGAUCAACGGCGGUUAAAUUUGGGAUACCUUUUGGACCCGUCUUGAAACACGGACCAAGGAGUCUAUCUAGUAUGCGAGUAAAUGGAUAGUUUAGUGAAAUCUAUUUACGUAAUAAACUUGACUGUUUUYCAGGGAAUWMCAAUAAWKGGYUUUUUGUCAUUURUCUUCCAUCCCGGGGUAUUUUCAUCAACAUAUGCCGUUAAAAAGUAUAUGGAAAAUAUACCAUGAGCACACUGGAUACGACCCGAAAGAUGGUGAACUAUGCCUGAUCAGGUCGAAGUCAGGGGAAACCCUGAUGGAGGACCGAAGCAGUUCUGACGUGCAAAUCG
This 607-nucleotide ribosomal RNA is filed under the name Stictochironomus sp. 1 SRM-2010. RNAcentral's name for it is "eukaryotic LSU rRNA". It matches the Rfam family "Eukaryotic large subunit ribosomal RNA", at positions 386 to 900 of the family's 3401-position model. Lineage: Eukaryota; Metazoa; Arthropoda; Insecta; Diptera; Chironomidae. The record is from RNAcentral.